This 585-nucleotide ribosomal RNA is filed under the name uncultured bacterium. Its description in RNAcentral is "partial 16S ribosomal RNA". It matches the Rfam family "Bacterial small subunit ribosomal RNA", at positions 355 to 1375 of the family's 1533-position model. The record is from RNAcentral.
UGGGGAAUUUUGGACAAUGGGCGAAAGCCUGAUCCAGCAAUGCCGCGUGUGUGAAGAAGGCCUUCGGGUUGUAAAGCACUUUUGUCCGGAAAGAAAUCCUUGGCUCUAAUACAGUCGGGGGAUGACGGUACCGGAAGAAUAAGCACCGGCUAACUACGUGCCAGCAGCCGCGGUAAUACGUAGGGUGCAAGCGUUAAUCGGAAUUACUGGGCGUAAAGCGUGCGCAGGCGGUUUGCUAAGACCGAUGUGAAAUCCCCGGGCUCAACCUGGGAACUGCAUUGGUGACUGGCAGACUAGAGUAUGGCAGAGGGGGGUAGAAUUCCACGUGUAGCAGUGAAAUGCGUAGAGAUGUGGAGGAAUACCGAUGGCGAAGGCAGCCCCCUGGGCCAAUACUGACGCUCAUGCACGAAAGCGUGGGGAGCAAACAGGAUUAGAUACCCUGGUAGUCCACGCCCUAAACGAUGUCAACUAGUUGUUGGGGAUUCAUUUCCUUAGUAACGUAGCUAACGCGUGAAGUUGACCGCCUGGGGAGUACGGUCGCAAGAUUAAAACUUAAAUGAAUUGACGGGGUCAUAGCUGUUUCCU